GCUGUGAUAAGUGUAUUUUUGUAAUUAUGUGUCCUUUAAUACAUCUGAUUAGUUUUGAGAUACCACACUUUGAAUACAUAUUUCUGGUAGAAUUUCCCAACUUAUCUAUUGGGAAUAUUGCAAUCUGAAUUUUUCGUUGAAUCAUAAGAGAAACAGAUUCUGCCCCUAAUCAACUUAAGAAUAAAAUGUAUCUACACUCGGUAGAUAUAUUUAUAAAGAAUUAAAAAAAAGAAAUGCUCAGUAAGCAAUGUAAUUUCUAUAAUUUUGAAAAUAAA
Molecule: long non-coding RNA, 275 nt
Filed under: Mytilus galloprovincialis (Mediterranean mussel)
Lineage: Eukaryota; Metazoa; Mollusca; Bivalvia; Mytilida; Mytilidae
Source: RNAcentral